ACAUUGGGCGGCAAGCCUGAUCCCAGCCAUGCCGCGUGUGUGAAGAAGGCUUAUGGUGUAAAGCACUUUAAGCGAGGAGGAGGCUACUUUAGUUAAUACCUAGAGAUAGUGGACGUUACUCGCAGAAUAAGCACGGGCUAACUCUGUGCCAGCAGCCGCGGUAAUACAGAGGGUGCAAGCGUUAAUCGGAUUUACUGGGCGUAAAGCGCGCGUAGGCGGCUAAUUAAGUCAAAUGUGAAAUCCCCGAGCUUAACUUGGGAAUUGCAUUCGAUACUGGUUAGCUAGAGUGUGGGAGAGGAUGGUAGAAUUCCAGGUGUAGCGGUGAAAUGCGUAGAGAUCUGGAGGAAUACCGAUGGCGAAGGCAGCCAUCUGGCCUAACACUGACGCUGAGGUGCGAAAGCAUGGGGAGCAAACAGGAUUAGAUACCCUGGUAGUCCAUGCCGUAAACGAUGUCUACUAGCCGUUGGGGCCUUUGAGGCUUUAGUGGCGCAGCUAACGCGAUAAGUAGACCGCCUGGGGAGUACGGUCGCAAGACUAAAACUCAAAUGAAUUGACGGGGGCCCGCACAAGCGGUGGAGCAUGUGGUUUAAUUCGAUGCAACGCGAAGAACCUUACCUGGCCUUGACAUAGUAAGAACUUUCCAGAGAUGGAUUGGUGCCUUCGGGAACUUACAUACAGGUGCUGCAUGGCUGUCGUCAGCUCGUGUCGUGAGAUGUUGGGUUAAGUCCCGCAACGAGCGCAACCCUUUUCCUUAUUUGCCAGCGAGUAAUGUCGGGAACUUUAAGGAUACUGCCAGUGACAAACUGGAGGAAGGCGGGGACGACGUCAAGUCAUCAUGGCCCUUACGGCCAGGGCUACACACGUGCUACAAUGGUCGGUACAAAGGGUUGCUACCUAGCGAUAGGAUGCUAAUCUCAAAAAGCCGAUCGUAGUCCGGAUUGGAGUCUGCAACUCGACUCCAUGAAGUCGGAAUCGCUAGUAAUCGCGGAUCAGAAUGCCGCGGUGAAUACGUUCCCGGGCCUUGUACACACCGCCCGUCACACCAUGGGAGUUUGUUGCACCAGAAGUAGCUAGCCUAACUGCAAAGAGGGCGGUACCACGGUGGCCGC
Molecule: ribosomal RNA, 1109 nt
Filed under: Acinetobacter sp.
Lineage: Bacteria; Pseudomonadati; Pseudomonadota; Gammaproteobacteria; Moraxellales; Moraxellaceae
Description: bacterial SSU rRNA
Rfam family: Bacterial small subunit ribosomal RNA
Source: RNAcentral